UUACACGAUAAAAGAGUUUAAUAGUUUACAUCUGUCCAAAUAAGUUGAGAAACUAAAAAACAGACGGGGAAGGAUCUGUCCUUUAUAAAAGCCCCAAUGUCAGGAGGAGGAGAAGGAUUCUUCUCAUCAGCAUGAAAUAGAAAAAUACACUUUAUAUAGAGGUGUAUCUCACGAACAUUUCUAUGCACACACUGUGGAAGGUGAGAGGUAACAGUCACUAGGAGAGACACAUGAGGGAGGUGGGUCUGGUCACCAUGAUGCCCUUCUGGAAUGAGGUAAGUGAGGUUCAGAUGAGAAAAGCCAAUGUUUGGGAGCCAAAUUGAUUCUUUUUUACAUUCAGAUUUGUCCUGAAGUUCCUAAGUGAGAAAAUGCCUGCUUGGGUUUACCAGAACCUUCCCAUCAGCUGUGUUUUGACCUUAAAUACGGGAGAGUUAGGUGACAUUGAGGAAGAAAUUCUCUACUGUGAGGGUGGUGGGACACUGGCACAGGGUGCCCAGAGAAGCUGUGGCUGCCCCAUCCCUGGCAGUGUUCAAGGCCAGGUUGGACACAGGGGCUUGGAGCAACCUGCUCUAGUGGAAGGUGUCCCUGCCCGGGGCAGGGGUUGGGGCUGGAGGAGCUUUAAGGUCCCUUCAACCCAAACCAGUCUGUGAUGAUUCUAUGAUUCUAUGAUGCUGGUUUGAGUAACAAGGCUCAAUACAAUCCUUCUACACCCUGAUUAAGGAAACCAUGCAAGCUAGGACAAGACUAGAAAAGCAAGCAGCAGUAGCACCGUAUGUGUUAAGGAGCAGAAGCUAACAGCAAUGGUAAAUGCACUCUGCAACAACAGCAACAGCUUCUCCACCCCCCCUCGGAAGUGGGCAGCAUCACGAGUGCAGAGUCAUGAGGCUGCUGAGCAUUUCCUGUGUGCAGUGCUCCAACGUGUCCUACUUUAGGCAAUGAGUAGUAAACAAGAAGAUGCUGUGAAGGCAGAUGCACCCUGGUACAACUCCUCAUCUUCCUUCAGCUCUUUCUGAGGUCAAGCCUCCAUCCCACGCAAUUUGAACAGAAUAAGAUCUCCUCACAACAAGCUGUUUGGCUGGUUGUGAUGUCCAAACCAGAGAAGCCAAGAGCCACAUUCCUGAAUCACGAACCCGCACUGUACU
This 1142-nucleotide long non-coding RNA is filed under the name Strigops habroptila (Kakapo). RNAcentral's name for it is "lncRNA (ENSSHBG00005009475.1)". The record is from RNAcentral. Lineage: Eukaryota; Metazoa; Chordata; Aves; Psittaciformes; Psittacidae.